Molecule: ribosomal RNA, 862 nt
Filed under: uncultured bacterium
Lineage: Bacteria
Description: bacterial SSU rRNA
Rfam family: Bacterial small subunit ribosomal RNA
Source: RNAcentral
GGCUCAGAACGAACGCUGGCGGCGUGCUUUACACAUGCAAGUCGAGUGCGCGGUUGUAGCAAUACAACUGGCGCACGGCGCACGGGUGCGUAACACGUGGGUAACCUGCCCUUUGGUGGGGAAUAACUCCGCGAAAGCGGAGCUAAUUCCGCAUAAGAUCCGCAAGGAUGAAAGUCGCAAGGCGCCGAUGGAGGGGCCCGCGCCCGAUUAGCUUGUUGGUAGGGUAACGGCCUACCAAGGCUUUGAUCGGUAGCUGGUCUGAGAGGAUGGCCAGCCACACUGGAACUGAGACACGGUCCAGACUCCUACGGGAGGCAGCAGUGGGGAAUCUUGCACAAUGGGCGAAAGCCUGAUGCAGCGACGCCGCGUGGGGGAUGAAGCUUCUCGGGGUGUAAACCCCUUUCGAUCCGGACGAAUGCCCGCAAGGGAUUGACGGUACGGAUAUAAGAAGCCCCGGCUAACUACGUGCCAGCAGCCGCGGUAAGACGUAGGGGGCCAGCGUUGUUCGGAAUUACUGGGUGUAAAGGGUUCGUAGGCGGUGUGGCAAGUUGGGAGUGAAAUCUCUGGGCUUAACCCAGAGGCUGCUUCCAAAACUGCUGUGCUUGAGUGUGAGAGAGGCUCGUGGAAUUGCAGGUGUAGCGGUGAAAUGCGUAGAUAUCUGCAGGAACACCCGUGGCGAAAGCGGCGAGCUGGAUCACUACUGACGCUGAGGAACGAAAGCUAGGGGAGCAAACAGGAUUAGAUACCCUGGUAGUCCUAGCCCUAAACGAUCAGGACUUGGGGUGCCACCCGUUCGGGUGUCGUCCCGGAGCUAACGCGUUAAGUCCUGCACCUGGGGAGUACGGUCGCAAGACUGAAACUC